GAUGAAGAACGCAGCGAAAUGCGAUAAGUAAUGUGAAUUGCAGAAUUCAGUGAAUCAUCGAAUCUUUGAACGCACAUUGCGCCCGCCAGUAUUCUGGCGGGCAUGCCUGUUCGAGCGUCAUUUCAACCCUCAGGCCCCGCCUGGCGUUGGGGAUCGGCGCGGCCCUCUCCGGGCUGCCGGCCCCGAAAACUAGUGGCGGUCUCGCUGUAGUCCUCCUCUGCGCAGUAGCAACGCUCGCACUGGAACUCGGCGCGGCCACGCCGUAAAACACCCCACUUCUGAAAGUUGACCUCGGAUCAGGUAGGAAUACCCGCUGAACUUAAGCAUAUCAAUAAGCGAGGA
Molecule: unclassified non-coding RNA, 342 nt
Filed under: soil metagenome
Description: partial contains 5.8S ribosomal RNA, internal transcribed spacer 2, and large subunit ribosomal RNA
Rfam family: 5.8S ribosomal RNA (bases 1-120)
Source: RNAcentral